RNAcentral lists this long non-coding RNA (308 nucleotides) under Elaeis guineensis (African oil palm). RNAcentral describes it as "long non-coding RNA (EGUI_LNC051866)". The record is from RNAcentral. Lineage: Eukaryota; Viridiplantae; Streptophyta; Magnoliopsida; Arecales; Arecaceae.
GGGGAUGUCGGCUGCUGACGAAAUGAGCCGCAAACUGAUGGCUCAUUUGAUCAAAGGAGAAGAUAGUACUCGGCUUCAGUGUUGAGUAUCAAUUUCUUGCUGCUCCCUUUAAGGUAGAUGGGAAAGCUCGGCACAGGAUGGCAUCUGGUGCGUCAUGGAGCAGCAUCAUUAUCCGAAAGGUCUCCAAGUGAUCAACCGGAUCUGAGGUCCCAUCGUAGCCUCAAAUUGGGGGAGCUUGAAGUUCAACAGGAUCGGUUUCUGUAUAAUUUUUUGAGAAAAAGGAGGGUCAGUACAGAUAUCCUCACCAU